GGCAGUUCUCAGGCGACACAUUCUGGAAUCGGGCUCCCUCCUCUCUGGUUCCAGGUGUGUCACCCGAGAACCACU
Non-coding RNA from Myotis brandtii (Brandt's bat), 75 nucleotides. The record is from Rfam. Lineage: Eukaryota; Metazoa; Chordata; Mammalia; Chiroptera; Vespertilionidae.